GUGCUGGCUUCAGCAGCACAUAUGCUAAAAUUGGAAUGAUACAGAGAAGAUUAUCAUGGCCCGUGAGCAAGGAUGACAAAGCCAGGCCCAAAGAAACAUAGGUCCCAUAGUUUC
Dipodomys ordii (Ord's kangaroo rat) is the source of this 114-nucleotide non-coding RNA. The record is from Rfam. NCBI's taxonomy places the organism in Eukaryota, Metazoa, Chordata, Mammalia, Rodentia, Heteromyidae.